Molecule: ribosomal RNA, 462 nt
Filed under: uncultured bacterium
Lineage: Bacteria
Description: partial 16S ribosomal RNA
Rfam family: Bacterial small subunit ribosomal RNA
Source: RNAcentral
GACGAACGCUGGCGGCGUGCUUAACACAUGCAAGUCGAACGGAGAAGCGAUUAGGGGUGGCCCAGUAGGGAACGGGCGAGUAACACGUGAGCAACCUGCUCACGGCUCUGGGACACCCGCAGGAAACGGUGACUCCUACCGGAUAACACCAGCAUCUGCUUAGCGUGUGGGUGGAAUGUUUUUCGGCGGGAGUUCGGCUCGCGGCUUAUCAACCUGUUGGUGAGUUGAUGGCUCACAAAGGAGACGACGGGUAGCCGGCCCUAGAGGGCGACCGGGCACACUGGGACUGAGAGAGGGCGCAGACGCCUAUGGGAGGCAGCAGUGGGGAAUCUGACAGAAUGGGGGAAAGCCUGAUGCAGAGACGCCGCGUUAGGGAUGCCGGCUUACGAGGUGUAAACCUCUUUCAGCGCCGAUGAAGCGAAAGUGACGGUAGGAGCAGAGGAAGCACCGGCUAACUACGUG